Molecule: ribosomal RNA, 600 nt
Filed under: Pediococcus pentosaceus
Lineage: Bacteria; Bacillati; Bacillota; Bacilli; Lactobacillales; Lactobacillaceae
Description: bacterial SSU rRNA
Rfam family: Bacterial small subunit ribosomal RNA
Source: RNAcentral
GNGACGAACUUCCGUUUAAUUGAUUAUGGACGUACUUGGUACUGAUUGAGAUUUUAACACGCAAGUGAGUGGCGAACGGGUGAGUAACACGUGGGGUAACCUGCCCAGAAGUAGGGGAUAACACCUGGAAACAGAUGCUAAUACCGUAUAACAGAGAAAACCGCAUGGUUUUCUUUUAAAAGAUGGCUCUGCUAUCACUUCUGGAUGGACCCGCGGCGUAUUAGCUAGUUGGUGAGGUAAAGGCUCACCAAGGCAGUGAUACGUAGCCGACCUGAGAGGGUAAUCGGCCACAUUGGGACUGAGACACGGCCCAGACUCCUACGGGAGGCAGCAGUAGGGAAUCUUCCACAAUGGACGCAAGUCUGAUGGAGCAACGCCGCGUGAGUGAAGAAGGGUUUCGGCUCGUAAAGCUCUGUUGUUAAAGAAGAACGUGGGUAAGAGUAACUGUUUACCCAGUGACGGUAUUUAACCAGAAAGCCACGGCUAACUACGUGCCAGCAGCCGCGGUAAUACGUAGGUGGCAAGCGUUAUCCGGAUUUAUUGGGCGUAAAGCGAGCGCAGGCGGUCUUUUAAGUCUAAUGUGAAAGCCUUCGGCUCAAC